Molecule: ribosomal RNA, 271 nt
Filed under: uncultured bacterium
Lineage: Bacteria
Description: partial 16S ribosomal RNA
Rfam family: Bacterial small subunit ribosomal RNA
Source: RNAcentral
CCUACGGGAGGCAGCAGUGGGGGAUAUUGCACAAUGGGGGAAACCCUGAUGCAGCGACGCCGCGUGAGCGAUGAAGUAUUUCGGUAUGUAAAGCUCUAUCAGCAGGGAAGAAAAUGACGGUACCUUACUAAGAAGCCCCGGCUAACUACGUGCCAGCAGCCGCGGUAAUACGUAGGGAGCAAGCGUUAUCCGGAUUUACUGGGUGUAAAGGGAGCGUAGACGGCAGAGCAAGUCUGAAGUGAAAGGCAUGGGCUCAACCCUUGGACUGCUU